Pelobates cultripes (western spadefoot toad) is the source of this 79-nucleotide non-coding RNA. NCBI's taxonomy places the organism in Eukaryota, Metazoa, Chordata, Amphibia, Anura, Pelobatidae. The record is from the annotation of a GenBank genome assembly.
AGAACUAGAGGGAAGGCAAGAUGUUGGCAUAGCUGUACAGUCAGAAACCUGCUAUGCCAUUGUAUUGCCAUCUUUCUUG